This 380-nucleotide ribosomal RNA is filed under the name uncultured eukaryote. Its description in RNAcentral is "SSU rRNA". It matches the Rfam family "Eukaryotic small subunit ribosomal RNA", at positions 587 to 969 of the family's 1831-position model. The record is from RNAcentral.
AGCUCCAAUAGCGUAUAUUAAAGUUGUUGUGGUUAAAAAGCUCGUAGUUGGAUCUUGGCAGGCUUGGGGCGGUUUGCUUGCUAGUAUUACUGCCCUAUAGUCUGUAGUUUUGCCAGAGGUUUUAGGGUGCUCUUAAUCGAGUGUCCUGGGAUGCUGGCAGGUUUACUUUGAAAAAAUUAGAGUGCUCAAAGCAGGCUUUUACGCCUGAAUAUUCGUGCAUGGAAUAAUAAGAUAGGACUUUGGUGGUUUAUUUUGUUGGUUUGCACGCCGAAGUAAUGAUUAAUAGGAGCAGUUGGGGAUGUCCGUAUUCGAUUGUCAGAGGUGAAAUUCUUGGAUUUAUUGAAGACGAACUACUGCGAAAGCAUUCAUCAAGGAUGUUU